CCUACGGGCGGCAGCAGUGAGGAAUAUUGGUCAAUGGGCGAGAGCCUGAACCAGCCAAGUCGCGUGAAGGAUGACGGCCCUACGGGUUGUCAACUUCUUUUGUCAGGGAGCAAUUGGGUCCACGCGUGGGCUUAGCGAGAGUACCUGAAGAAAAGGCAUCGGCUAACGCCGUGCCAGCAGCCGCGGUAAUACGGGGGAUGCGAGCGUUAUCCGCAUUUAUUGGGUUUAAAGGGUGCGUAGGCGGAAUAUCAAGUCAGCGGUAAAAAUUCGGGGCUCAACCCCGUCGUGCCGUUGAAACUGGUGGUCUGGAGUGGGCGAGAAGUAUGCGGAAUGCGUGGUGUAGCGGUGAAAUGCAUAGAUAGCACGCAGAACUCCGAUUGCGAAGGCAGCAUACCGGCGCCCAACUGACGCUGAAGCACGAAAGCGUGGGUAUCGAACAGGAUUAGAUACCCCAGUAGUC
RNAcentral lists this ribosomal RNA (460 nucleotides) under uncultured bacterium. RNAcentral's name for it is "partial 16S ribosomal RNA". It matches the Rfam family "Bacterial small subunit ribosomal RNA", at positions 338 to 795 of the family's 1533-position model. The record is from RNAcentral.